This 84-nucleotide microRNA precursor is filed under the name Lingula anatina. Its description in RNAcentral is "bantam microRNA precursor family". It matches the Rfam family "bantam microRNA precursor family". Lineage: Eukaryota; Metazoa; Brachiopoda; Lingulata; Lingulida; Lingulidae. The record is from Rfam by way of RNAcentral.
CACCUUAAAUGAAACUGGUUUUCACAAUGAUUUGCCAGAUAUUUUUAGAAAUUCUGAGAUCAUUGUGAAAACUGAUUUUGUUCC